This 253-nucleotide ribosomal RNA is filed under the name uncultured bacterium. Its description in RNAcentral is "partial 16S ribosomal RNA". It matches the Rfam family "Bacterial small subunit ribosomal RNA", at positions 524 to 776 of the family's 1533-position model. The record is from RNAcentral.
UACGGGGGGGGCAAGCGUUGUUCGGAAUUACUGGGCGUAAAGCGCGUGUAGGCGGCUUUUCAAGUCGGACGUGAAAGCCCUCGGCUUAACCGAGGAACUGCCAUCCAGACUGCUUUGCUUGAGGCCGGGAGAGGUGAGUGGAAUUCCCAGUGUAGCGGUGAAAUGCGUAGAUAUUGGGAGGAACACCAGUGGCGAAGGCGGCUCACUGGACCGGUUCUGACGCUGAUGCGCGAAAGCGUGGGGAGCAAACAGG